GCGCUUGUAACCAGACUUUGAGUAUUGUGGUUCCCCCUUGCUUUUGCUUGGGCUACUCCAUUUUAUCCAGGCCAACAUCGGUUUCAGGGGUUGGUUAAAGGCUUUAGCAAUGUAUCUACCUCCGGGUAGACUUAUAGGCUAGAGUGUCAUGCAACCUCCCGGGACCGAGGUACGCGCUUCGGCGAGGAUGUUGGCGUAAUGGUUAUAAGCGACCCGUCUUGAAACACGGACCAAGGAGUC
RNAcentral lists this ribosomal RNA (240 nucleotides) under Herpotrichiellaceae sp. A561. Its description in RNAcentral is "partial large subunit ribosomal RNA". It matches the Rfam family "Eukaryotic large subunit ribosomal RNA", at positions 419 to 675 of the family's 3401-position model. Lineage: Eukaryota; Fungi; Ascomycota; Eurotiomycetes; Chaetothyriales; Herpotrichiellaceae. The record is from RNAcentral.